Molecule: non-coding RNA, 136 nt
Organism: Podarcis lilfordi (Lilford's wall lizard)
Lineage: Eukaryota; Metazoa; Chordata; Lepidosauria; Squamata; Lacertidae
Source: the annotation of a GenBank genome assembly
AUUUCUUAACCACCUGGGUUGUAUUUAUUUUCCAAGUAUGGUCUUCACUGAGAUAAACUCCUUUAAAUUCCUAGGAGUUUAUCUCAGUGAAGACCUUACUUGGAAAAUAAAUACAACCCAGGUGGUUAAGAAAGCC